AGCAGCCGCGGUAAUUCCAGCUCCAAUAGCGUAUAUUAAAGUUGUUGCAGUUAAAAAGCUCGUAGUUGAAUUUCGGGAUCAAAUUGUUGGUCGUGCUUCGGUACGCACUGGCAUUAUUGGUUCCUACCUUCUGAAGAACCGCGAUGUCAUUAAUUUGGUGUCGUGGGGAAUCAGGACUGUUACUUUGAAAAAAUUAGAGUGUUUAAAGCAGGCGCACGCUUGAAUACAUUAGCAUGGAAUAAUGAAAUAGGACGUUUGAUUCUAUUUUGUUGGUUUCUAGGAUCGACGUAAUGAUUAAUAGGGAUAGUUGGGGGCAUUAGUAUUCAAUUGUCAGAGGUGAAAUUCUUGGAUUUAUUGAAGACUAACUACUGCGAAAGCAUUUGCCAAGGAUGUUUUCAUUAAUCAAGAACGAAAGUUAGGGGAUCGAAGACGAUCAGAUACCGUCGUAGUCUUAACCAUAAACUAUGCCGACUAGGGAUCGGAUGAUGUUAAUUUUUUAAUGACUCA
This 507-nucleotide ribosomal RNA is filed under the name Glomus sp. Glo4. RNAcentral describes it as "SSU rRNA". It matches the Rfam family "Eukaryotic small subunit ribosomal RNA", at positions 569 to 1078 of the family's 1831-position model. RNAcentral also lists the same sequence under 1 other name. The record is from RNAcentral. Lineage: Eukaryota; Fungi; Glomeromycota; Glomeromycetes; Glomerales; Glomeraceae.